UCCCUUCUAGCUUAAUGUUACUAAAGCACCGGUUUGAAGAGCCGGGGAUACCCCUGUGUGGUGGG
Molecule: transfer RNA, 65 nt
Filed under: Opisthorchis viverrini
Lineage: Eukaryota; Metazoa; Platyhelminthes; Trematoda; Opisthorchiida; Opisthorchiidae
Description: tRNA-Phe
Source: RNAcentral